This is a non-coding RNA of Pelobates cultripes (western spadefoot toad), 231 nucleotides long. The record is from the annotation of a GenBank genome assembly. NCBI's taxonomy places the organism in Eukaryota, Metazoa, Chordata, Amphibia, Anura, Pelobatidae.
GAUUCUCCUAGCUGAGGAUGCUAUCCCCAAGUCAGCAUUUGUCACCCCAUUUGGCCUGUACCAAUUUAGGGUCAUGCCAUUCGGGAUGAAAAAUGCCCCGGCUACCUUCCAGCGUAUGGUGGAUAGGCUCCUCGAUGGCUUCUAGGAUUUUGCUUGCGCAUACCUGAUGACAUUGCGAUCUACAGUGGGUCUUGGGAGGAGCACUUGGUUCAUGUAGGGGUGGUUCUGGAC